UGGGGAAUAUUGCACAAUGGGGGAAACCCUGAUGCAGCGACGCCGCGUGAGCGAUGAAGGCUUUCGAGUCGUAAAGCUCUGUCCUAUGGGAAGAUAAUGACGGUACCAUAGAAGAAAGCCCCGGCUAAUUACGUGCCAGCAGCCGCGGUAAUACGUAAGGGGCGAGCGUUGUCCGGAAUUAUUGGGCGUAAAGCGCGCGCAGGUGGUUUAGAAAGUCUGAUGUGAAAGCCCACGGCUCAACCGUGGAGGGUCAUUGGAAACUAAUAAACUUGAGUGCAGGAAAGAAAAGUGGAAUUCCUAGUGUAGCGGUGAAAUGCGUAGAGAUUAGGAGGAACACCGGUGGCGAAAGCGGCUUUUUGGCCUGCAACUGACACUGAGGCGCGAAAGCGUGGGGAGCAAACAGG
Molecule: ribosomal RNA, 404 nt
Filed under: Verrucomicrobiota bacterium
Lineage: Bacteria; Pseudomonadati; Verrucomicrobiota
Description: Verrucomicrobia bacterium partial 16S ribosomal RNA
Rfam family: Bacterial small subunit ribosomal RNA
Source: RNAcentral